RNAcentral lists this transfer RNA (146 nucleotides) under Ascocoryne sarcoides NRRL 50072. Its description in RNAcentral is "tRNA-Und (NNN) (tRNA-Und-NNN-3-1)". The record is from RNAcentral. Lineage: Eukaryota; Fungi; Ascomycota; Leotiomycetes; Helotiales; Gelatinodiscaceae.
GGUGUCCUGGUGUAGUGGUUGUAAGUAUUCUCUCAAUUCAAUGUGAAAUGUCUCAAACUAAUUAAAUUCAAGAUCACGCCUCGUUUACAAUAUUGCAUUGCAAUUCAUAGCCGAGUAGGUCGCAAGUUCGAGCCUUGCGGACAUCA